Delphinapterus leucas (beluga whale) is the source of this 107-nucleotide small nuclear RNA. The record is from Ensembl. Lineage: Eukaryota; Metazoa; Chordata; Mammalia; Artiodactyla; Monodontidae.
GUGCUCACUUUGGCAGCAUGUAUACUAAAAUUGGAACGAUACAGAGAAGAUCAGCCUGGCCCCUGCACAAGGAUGACAUGCAAAUUUGUGAAGCGUUCCAUAUUUUU